AGAGUUUGAUCAUGGCUCAGAACGAACGCUGGCGGCAUGCCUAACACAUGCAAGUCGAACGCCAUCCUCUGGAUGGAGUGGCGCACGGGUGAGUAACGCGUGGGAACCUGCCUUUUUCUGCGGGACAACGGUUGGAAACGACCGCUAAUACCGCAUACGCCCUACGGGGGAAAGGUCCGCCGGAGAGAGAGGGGCCCGCGUUUGAUUAGCUUGUUGGUGGGGUAACGGCUCACCAAGGCGACGAUCAAUAGCUGGUCUGAGAGGAUGAUCAGCCACACUGGGACUGAGACACGGCCCAGACUCCUACGGGAGGCAGCAGUGGGGAAUAUUGGACAAUGGGGGCAACCCUGAUCCAGCAAUGCCGCGUGUGUGAUGAAGGCCUUAGGGUUGUAAAGCACUUUCACUGGCGAAGAUGAUGACGGUAACCAGAGAAGAAGCCCCGGCUAACUUCGUGCCAGCAGCCGCGGUAAUACGAAGGGGGCGAGCGUUGUUCGGAAUUACUGGGCGUAAAGGGCGUGUAGGCGGCUCCUUAAGUUAGGCGUGAAAGCCCGGGCUCAACCCGG
Molecule: ribosomal RNA, 563 nt
Filed under: uncultured Alphaproteobacteria bacterium
Lineage: Bacteria; Pseudomonadati; Pseudomonadota; Alphaproteobacteria
Description: bacterial SSU rRNA
Rfam family: Bacterial small subunit ribosomal RNA
Source: RNAcentral